Myotis lucifugus (little brown bat) is the source of this 466-nucleotide non-coding RNA. The record is from the annotation of a RefSeq genome assembly. NCBI's taxonomy places the organism in Eukaryota, Metazoa, Chordata, Mammalia, Chiroptera, Vespertilionidae.
GGACUCAGGGAUGACCUCCACCAUGGCCUGGGCCCCUCUCCUCCUCACCCUCCUGGCUCACUGCACAGGAUCCUGGGCCCAGUCUGUGCUGACUCAGCCAUCCUCAGUGUCGGGGGCCCCGGGCGAGAGGGUCACCAUCUCCUGCACUGGAAGCAGCUCCAACAUUGGGGGUGGUAACUAUGUGCACUGGUACCAGCAGCUCCCAGGAAAGGCCCCCAAACUCCUCAUCGAUGGUGAUAACAUCCGACCCUCAGGGGUCCCUGACCGGUUCUCUGGCUCCACGUCUGGCAGCUCAGGCACCCUGACCAUCACAGGGCUGCAGGCUGAGGACGAGGCCGACUAUUACUGCCAGUCCUUCGAUGAUGAUCUUGGUACUCCCACGGUGCUGCAGGCCUGUGGGGAAGCUGCACCGCCCACCGGGGUCCUUGGGCACAACCGCUGUCCCCCCCUCAGUGCUGAGCUCUGA